GCAUGGAUGUCAAGCAGCCGUCAAAGAAAUCCGCUCUCCUCGGCGUUGCAGCACAGUCGUCGAGGCUCGAUCGUUCGCCAAGAUGAUUCAACGAGAGGUUGAAGCCCUUUCAGCUGUUCAGCACCGUAAUAUUAUUGGACUGCUAGAUCUUCGCAUGGAAAACGAAUCGAGUGAUGGUGAAGCAUCGAUUAGAGUCUCGCUUAUCUUUGAAUUCGCCAACGGAGGGACUCUUUUCGACUGACUUUUCGGCGGCCUAGCAAAAAAUAGCAAAUUCAAAUUAGACGUGAAUCAAAUGAUGCUGACCGCUCGCCAUCUCACCGCGAAACUCUCCAUCUACUGCAUUCCACUCAGCAGAAGCCGGGCGGUUCAGUUAUGGUCCACCGUGACGUGAAAUCCGCCAAUGUUUUACUGCAACGGGAUGACGAAGGAAGAGUCGUGCGAGCUGUUUUGGACGAUUUAACGUCUUCAUUUGGAUCUUAACGAAAGUGGCUCCCGCCUUGGCCUAGCAGCCAGUUUCAUGACAGCCGUGGUAGGUACCCACGGCUAUGUCGAUCCUUUGUGUGCGGAGCGUUUAACCUGCAGACGGGUCGGCCAGUUUGCAUGUCCUUCACGCUUGAAGGUCGCGGGGAAUAUUACGUUAAACUGUCAAUGCGGUGGUGUAGAGGUUGGGUGAGAAUUGGACGUGUUGCAUCAUUAUCAAGCAGGAGAAAAAAGGCCAAAGAAAUCAGUCGAGUGAUCAUCUCCGACACUGCAAUAGCAACUGCAGGGCACUAUUGAUCAUCAAUUGAUUCUUCACUGUGUAAUCAGUUCGUAAUCAUGGUUAAUUAUGGCGUUGUGCUGCUGUUGGGUCGACCACGAGUGUACCGAUGUCUCCUGGAUACGGUGGCCCCGAGUUACUUCACCAAAGCGCCUGAGUACUACACUGAGGCUCCCAAGUACUACACCAUCAAAGCCCCAGAGUAUUACACUGCAAUCUACGCUGCCCCAGCUUACACCACCAAGGGACCGGAGUACUGCACCACAACCUACGCUGCCCCAGUUCACUACGCCGCCCUGAGCUACACAACCACAUCUGAGGCAGCCGUCAUUACUGCACAGCGGCUGCUUCUUAGUAACAACCUACGUUACACCUAGAUGCUACACCGAAGCCCCCAAGUACUGCACCGGCAAGGCCGAAUAUUACAUAACCACGUUUGCUGCCCCAGCUACCCUGCUACACCGAGAAACCCAAGUAUUUCUCUGCUCCAAGCAACUAUCGAACAGAGGCUCCUGUUGACUACACCACCCAUGCCCCGGGGUUUUACAGUACAACCUACGCUGCCCCAUCUACACCAUCAAGGCUCCAAAGUACUACGCCACCGAGGCACCCGAGCUACUACUUAGGCUGCUCCGACUUUCUGCACCGAAGCUGCGAAAUAUUCCACUGCCCCGAGUUACUACACCAUCAAGGCUGUUACAAUGUUACAUCACAACCUACGCUUCUCCAGUUUACUACAUAAUGGUGAAGCCAGAAAUGGAAACAGUCUAGUGCUGUUUGGUGUAUCGUUGAUGGUCGAGUCGUCCACUGGUGUACCGGUGUCCCCUGGGUGUGGCAGAUACCAAACCGCAAUGCUACCGUCUUACUACACAACAAACAUACGCAACCAGUUACUACACCUAAAAGGCCGUAUGUUACACAAGGACGUAUGCUACACCAGUUUACUACACCGAGGAAUUCAAGUAUUACUCUUCCCCGAACAAAUACCAAACAGAGGCUCCUGUUUACUACACUACCAUCGCCCUCGAGUGUUACACUAAAACCUACGUUGCCCCCAACUACUACACUGUGGCUCCGAAGUGCUACACAUCAAUGCACAACCAAUUCGCAAUUGUUUAUUUUUACGUCGUGCUGCUGUUGGUUGUUCUAUCGUUGCUAACGUGUUGACCACUGUACCGAACUCCACCGACUUUGG
Molecule: long non-coding RNA, 1952 nt
Organism: Daphnia pulex (common water flea)
Lineage: Eukaryota; Metazoa; Arthropoda; Branchiopoda; Diplostraca; Daphniidae
Exons: 6
Source: RefSeq, a predicted model, not a curated record